This 27-nucleotide non-coding RNA is filed under the name Bombyx mori (domestic silkworm). The record is from RNAcentral. Lineage: Eukaryota; Metazoa; Arthropoda; Insecta; Lepidoptera; Bombycidae.
UGGCAAUACGAACAUUUCGGGCGUCGC